Molecule: ribosomal RNA, 495 nt
Filed under: uncultured bacterium
Lineage: Bacteria
Description: bacterial SSU rRNA
Rfam family: Bacterial small subunit ribosomal RNA
Source: RNAcentral
CGAUGAAGCAUUCUUCGGAACGUGGAAGAGUGGCGAACGGGUGAGGAACACGUAAGAAUCUGCCCCUCAGUCGGGGACAACCCUUGGAAACGAGGGCUAAUACCCGAUACGCUGUGGAGUGAAAGAAUUUCGCUGAGGGAUGAUCUUGCGUCUGAUUAGCUAGUUGGUGUGGUAAUGGCACACCAAGGCGACGAUCAGUAGCUGGUCUGAGAGGAUGAACAGCCACAUUGGAACUGAGACACGGUCCAAACUCCUACGGGAGGCAGCAGUGGGGAAUUUUCCGCAAUGGACGAAAGUCUGACGGAGCGACGCUGCGUGAAGGAUGACGGCCUGCGGGUUGUAAACUUCUUUUCUCGAAGAAGAAGCUCUGACGGUAUUCGAGGAAUAAGCAUCGGCUAACUCCGUGCCAGCAGCCGCGGUAAGACGGAGGAUGCAAGUGUUAUUCGGAAUGAUUGGGCGUAAAGAGUCUGUACGCUGUAUGGAAAGUCUUUUGUU